This 1050-nucleotide ribosomal RNA is filed under the name Biston falcata. RNAcentral describes it as "partial 16S ribosomal RNA". The record is from RNAcentral. Lineage: Eukaryota; Metazoa; Arthropoda; Insecta; Lepidoptera; Geometridae.
AUUAAUAAUUAAUAUAUUUAAUAAAAAUAAUUUUAAUUUAAUAAAUAUUUUAAUGGGGGUUAAAGUAUUUUUUAAAGAAAAAAUUUUUAAAUUUAUAGUUAAUUAGUAUUGUGAAAGAAUUUUGAAAUAUUAUGAAAAAUAAAAUUUUUAUAAAGUAAUUUUUAUUUAUUGUAUCUUGUGUAUCAGAGUUUAUUAAAAAUUUUUAAUUUAUAAAUUAAUUUCUCGAAUUUAAAAGAGUUAAAUAAUUAUUAAAGUUAUUGUAGCAAAAUUAUUUUAAAUAAUUAUUUAGAAAUGAAAUGUUAAUCGUUUUUAAAUAUAUCUAGUUUUUAUAGAAAAAAAUUUAAUUUUAAAUUUAAAAAUUAUUUAAUUAAUUUAUUAAUUAAAUAAUUAUUUAAAUUUUAUAAUUUAAGGGAUAAGCUUUAAAUUAAAUUUUUAUAAUAUUAAAUUUUUAUUUUGAAAAUUUUAUAAUUUAUAUUGUUAAUAAAUUUUAUUUUGUUAUAAAUAAUUUCAUUUUUUUUAAAAUUUAAAUUUUAUUUAAUUUUUUAUAUAAAAUUUAUUUAUAAUUAUAUAAAGUUAAUUAUAAUGAUAAAAUUAGUAUAUUAUUUAAUAUUAAAUUAAAAUUAAUUUUUGAUUAAUAAUUAAAUUAAUUAAAAGGAAUUCGGCAAAUAUUUAUUUUCACUUGUUUAUCAAAAACAUGUCUUUUUGUUAUUUAAUUUAAAGUCUAAUCUGCCCACUGAUUUAUAAAAAUUGAAGGGCUGCAGUAUAUUGACUGUACAAAGGUAGCAUAAUCAUUAGUCUCUUAAUUGGUGACUUGUAUGAAAGAUUGGAUGAAAAAUAUACUGUCUCUUAAUUAAUAUAUAGAAUUUAAUUUUUUAUUUAAAAAGUUAAAAUAAUUUAAAAAGACGAGAAGACCCUAUAGAGUUUAAUAAAUUAUUUUAUGGAAGUUUUAUUUAUAUUUACUAAUAAUUUUAUAAAUUUAUUUAUUUUGUUGGGGUGAUAAAAAAAUAAAUUUAACUUUUUUUAAGUAAUUUACAUGAAUAAGUGAUUAAU